Molecule: small RNA, 60 nt
Filed under: Sinorhizobium meliloti 2011
Lineage: Bacteria; Pseudomonadati; Pseudomonadota; Alphaproteobacteria; Hyphomicrobiales; Rhizobiaceae
Description: putative ncRNA
Source: RNAcentral
AGAGGGCACAGAACGUGGUCGGCGGCCGGCCCCGGUGCGUUGAUCCGCACGGUGCCGGAU